CGCUUUACUGUUCCCUGGCAUGGGCGUCUCGGCCCUUCCUGCGCCAGCCUAUAGGGUGGGAGGCACCAGAAGCUCCUCUUCCGGGAGGUCAAGCCAUCGUGAGAGACCACCCUGGGACAGGGCUAAGUAUCCUAACCAAUUGGAACCGUGUCAGGCAGACAGUUUCUCUGGGGCAGAGGCCUCCCAAAGAGUAACUGGAGGCGUGCAAAGGUUCCCUCAGGCUGGACGGGAAUCAGUUAGAGAGUGUAAACGGCAGAAGGGAGCUUGACUGCAAGACCAACAAGUCAGAGCAGGGACGCACGUCGGCCUUAGUAUCCGACGGUGCGGGUGGAUAGGGCCGUCCGCUCUACUCGGAUACAAAGUUACCCUAGGGGGAGGUAACAGGCUAUUAUGCUA
Molecule: ribosomal RNA, 396 nt
Filed under: uncultured alga
Lineage: Eukaryota
Description: bacterial LSU rRNA
Rfam family: Bacterial large subunit ribosomal RNA
Source: RNAcentral